This is a long non-coding RNA of Cyprinus carpio carpio, 643 nucleotides long. NCBI's taxonomy places the organism in Eukaryota, Metazoa, Chordata, Actinopteri, Cypriniformes, Cyprinidae. The record is from Ensembl.
GUUUGAAGCUGUUUAUUAUGGCUCAGGCGUCGCUGCUGUCAGCCGCUCUGUAUGAGCUCUUGAAAGAGAUUCUUGAAGUGACUGGAGUGUCAGUCCUUGAUUGUCUUUGCACUCUCAGGAAAUGUAAGAGCGUGCGGCUCCUCAGCCAUCACAGUAUUGAUACUGUAGGACGGGUGUCUCAGAACCGCCGAGCGUCUGAUCCAAGCUGACAGUUUGCCGGAGAACCGUACCUGAUGCAGGUGUUUGCAGUUCCGGUGAUAUUCCUGAGUUUCGGUGUUUCAGAUGAUCUAAGAGCGUCCGUCCUCCAAGCCACAGCAGGAGAUAACUGUAGUGUUCCUCUUCCAAUUUUUCGUGGAGUGGGCCCUUGAACAUCAGCUCAGUGUGUUGUUGGAAUCUCCUCCAUGCGUCAGGCAAAUCCAGGGAAUCCCAGUCCAUGCUGGGCAUCAGCACGCCAGCGGAGUCCAUCUUCUCUUCCUGUCAUCGUAGCCACCAGUUCCAGUCUGUAUCCAGAUCAGAGGGUCACUGCAGUCACCCGGAUCCAGUACGUAUCCAGACCAGAUGGUGGAUCAGUACCUAGAAAGGACCUCUACAGCCCUGAAAGACAGCAGAGACCAGGACAACUAGAUGAGCCCCAGAGACAGAU